This 1349-nucleotide long non-coding RNA is filed under the name Homo sapiens (human). RNAcentral describes it as "HSALNT0142097". The record is from RNAcentral. Lineage: Eukaryota; Metazoa; Chordata; Mammalia; Primates; Hominidae.
GUUUUCUUAUCACUUCUAGUAUUUAAAAACUUGAUCCAGUUCAAUUUAAAACUGUUAUCUCAUUCUCUCCAUUCACUCACCCAAGGUGCCUUGAGUAGCAGCCAGAGAGACUUGGAGGAUAGGGAAGAGCAUGCUAAAGGAAUGCCAGCACUUUCAGAUUCAUUCCUCUACUUACUUCAGCACUUGGAGUAGAGAAGGACUGAAUAUAUAUUGGAAAACCACCACACCAAACAGGACGAUAGAGCAAAAAAAACCUACAAAAAAAAAUCCAGGGAACUAAACCACAACCUCUGCAACAAUCGAGAGCAAAAAAGGUCGGACUUGGUCAAUGACAGAAAACUUUUUUCAUGUUUCUUUCCACUUCCAACUUAGGAUCAAUCAAGAAAGCCAAAUGUGCUGCUCACACUAACGUGGUAGCUAGCUUAUCUUCAGCUUCCCCAUACCAAAAACCUCCAGCUAAAGCAUAACUGAAUCCUUCCUUCUUUAUUAACUAAUAAAGUUUUCCCAUUCUCUUGACUGCGUUUAAGUCUCUGCCAAAGACAAGUGAUGGUGGCUGCCUCCCUUGCUACAGAAAGCUCUGAAUAAGUAGCCUUGAUUUAUUCCCAUUUGCAUGGUCUUCAUUUAUUUCCAACAAUCCGAGCUCAUAUACACAUGCCAACAAACACACACAAAAAUAAAUAACUGCAAAAUACGUUUCAUAGUAAAAUACAUAUCCCCAUAAAUGUAUUAUAAGUAAUGCCUUCUGAAAUUUUCUAUUCCAUUACAUAAAAAGUAAAUGUUGGCCCCAAACCAAAAUUAUUUAAUGGCCCAUUAACCAGUACGACUUUUAUAUUGAAAAAUAGGUGUACACAUAUUUUCUAAAGCUUAUUUGACCCCGCGGCCAUCUGUUCACUGAGUAUCUCUUAAGACUUGUUUCCUUAGGACACGCUUGGGGAAGGUUAACUACAUUUUGAAUAGAGAUUACUGGAAGAAUAGAGAUGUGAUUAACAAACAAUCAGAAUAAACACUUGGUUUUUAAUGAAAGGUAUUUAGUUCAAUUUAAAUUAUAUUGAUUAAGAAAUUACAAUUCAGAGAAACAGAAAAAAAUACUAAAAUUGAGAAAGAAAAGAGUUUUAUAAAAUUCUAGUCCUUUCUGAAGCUUAUUUAAAGGUCAUUUAGUUUAACUUUCCUCUCAAUCAACAAUUUUGUUUUCCUGUUCUAGUAUCUAUUAUUAAAAUGGGACUGCUGUUUUAGGCAAAGUAAAUAUAAACAAAGAAUAAACUCCUGUCUAUUAGAAAGUGAAGGGAAAGUGUAAGGGCAAGCACAAAACGAAAAGAGGCUUAAUUUUUUAGGGUUAGGGUUAGUGUUAG